This 200-nucleotide unclassified non-coding RNA is filed under the name Hebeloma sp. Its description in RNAcentral is "partial internal transcribed spacer 2". The record is from RNAcentral. Lineage: Eukaryota; Fungi; Basidiomycota; Agaricomycetes; Agaricales; Hymenogastraceae.
UUAAGUUCAGCGGGUAGUCCUACCUGAUUUGAGGUCAAAUUGUCAAGUAUUGUCCAGAAUGAACAGACGGUUGGAAGCAGUGCAAAACCCAUAUGAUUGCAGAUAUCCACGGCGUAGAUAAUUAUCACACCAAUAGACAGUCCACGCGGGGCACCGGCUAAUGCAUUUAAGGGGAGCUGACCAUCUGUAAAGAAGCCAGC